RNAcentral lists this ribosomal RNA (460 nucleotides) under uncultured bacterium. Its description in RNAcentral is "partial 16S ribosomal RNA". It matches the Rfam family "Bacterial small subunit ribosomal RNA", at positions 338 to 795 of the family's 1533-position model. The record is from RNAcentral.
CCUACGGGAGUCUGCAGUGAGGAAUAUUGGUCAAUGGGCGCGAGCCUGAUCCAGCCAAGUAGCGUGAAGGAUGACUGCCCUACGGGUUGUAAACUUCUUUUACAAAGGAGUAAAGUGAGGCACGUGUGCCUUUUUGUAUGUACUUUAUGAAUAAGGAUCGGCUAACUCCGUGCCAGCAGCCGCGGUAAUACGGAGGAUCCGAGCGUUAUCCGGAUUUAUUGGGUUUAAAGGGAGCGUAGAUGGGUUGUUAAGUCAGUUGUGAAAGUUUGCGGCUCAACCGUAAAAUUGCAAUUGAUACUGGCAGUCUUGAGUACAGGUGAGGUAGGCGGAAUUCGUGGUGUAGCGGUGAAAUGCUUAGAUAUCACGAAGAACUCCGAUUGCGAAGGCAGCUUACUAGACUGCAACUGACAUUGAUGCUCGAAAGUGUGGGUAGCAAACAGGAUUAGAUACCCCUGUAGUC